This is an RNA transcript of Bactrocera neohumeralis, 1545 nucleotides long. It is a transcript of the gene named synaptobrevin, with no coding region annotated. Lineage: Eukaryota; Metazoa; Arthropoda; Insecta; Diptera; Tephritidae. The record is from RefSeq and is a predicted model, not a curated record. The transcript has 5 exons.
UUCAUCAUCCAACAAAGCGGCGAAAAGCAGACAAAAACGCCGAGCAGUUAGUUCAUUUUUCACGAUCCUUUCUGAAUUUACUUUGUUUCUCACCUAAAAGAAAUUGCAAAGGUUGUGUUUUUAGCUGCUGCGAUAAAUAAAAUACGCACAAAAAGAAAACAAUACAAAGUGUUGUGAUUUAAAAUAUAAUAUAAAGCAAUUGACGCACAAAGUUCGGAAGAACAACAAAAUUUUAAGAAAUGGAGAACCCAAAUGAUUUUCCGGCACCAUCUGGAUCAACAACUGAUUUUCCUGUUUUACCCCCGCCUCCGAACUCUGCCAGUCCCAGCAAUAAUAAUCAAGCGCAGAAGCGACUUCAACAAACCCAAGCCAAGGUCGAUGAAGUGGUCGGUAUUAUGCGCGUGAAUGUGGAAAAGGUUCUGGAGCGCGAUCAGAAACUAUCGGAACUGGGUGAGCGUGCUGAUGCGCUGGAAGCCGGUGCCUCGCAAUUCGAACAACAAGCUGGCAAGUUGAAACGCAAACAAUGGUGGGCUAACAUGAAAAUGAUGAUCAUUAUGGGUGUGAUCGGUGUGGUUCUCUUAAUUAUCAUAAUCGUUAUGCUCUUUUAUUAACCGGUACCAAUUAGCAGUUGAAGAUCAACCUUUUAAAUAUAUACAUGUUCUCUAUAAGUGUGUGUUUUUGUCUAUAUAUGUAUGUGUCUAGUGUUUUCAGUUUCUUUAAUUAAGCAUUUUUGAAAUAAAAAGCAGUAAAUAAUUGUUUAAGUAGGAAAAGUAGAAGUUUGUACCGACGCAAUACGUCUGAAAGCCAUUUUUUUUAAAGUUAUCCUUCCUGCCAUCCGGCAGUAGCAGCUCUGAUUCACAUAACCAAAUUCAAAACACGACAUCACCUUAAAAAGCUCAGACCGCAGUGGCCUUAUGAUGAUUCCUUGUUGUUUUGAUUGAAAGCAUUAGACGUGGUUUUUAAAAAAUGCACAAAAUGCCAGCGCACAAUCAAUAUGCAUUGGAUCGUUUCUUUAAUACAGCUCUAACUGAAUGUCUUUAAACAGUAUACAAACAAAAAUAUAUAUACAUAAAUCAUUAUACAUAUAUACAAGUAAUAUACAAAAUGUAUGCCUUAAAUAUUAUACAACGGAUAUCUGAAUGAAAUUGUAAUUGGAAAUGUAAAACAUAACAAAGCAAAGUAUUUGUUUAAUUUUGUGUUUGUUUAAUUGUUUUUUGUAAUAUAAAAACGUUUGUCGUACUCUUAAUUGUUAAAAAAGCCGAAAUCCAUUUGACAUUUUUACAUAUACAAUAUUAAAACGAUUUGUAAAAUUAUAUUGCUGUUAUAUACAUAUACAGAGUACACAUACAUAUAUAUAUAUAAAACUAUAUACAUGUAUAUUUACAUAAACAUAAAAUACUUUAGUGUUGAUUUUAGCGUUUUCGAAGUAUUUACACACAAUAUACAUAUUCUAACGGUGUAUGAGAGGAAACAAACAACUAUUUACAAAAUGUAAACUAUACACAUACAACAAAUAAAUUAAGCAACAUUUUGGAAAACAUUAAA